CCUCUGCUUGACUUGAGAAUCCCCCAUCAGAACUCUACCAUCCUCGCCCUUGAUGCACCUAACUUGGUCAAGAUCUCGUGCCUUCCUUUCCCUUGCUUUAGCUAACCGGAAUAACUUCCUGUCCCCUCUUCUCUCCCCUAGUUCCUCGUACAUGCAACCAAACGCCGCGUUUUUAGCUUCCGUAACCGCCAACUUUGCUUCUUUCCUCGCUACCUUGUAGAUCUCCCUGUUCGCUCUUCGUUCUUCCUCGCUUGUGCUCCCUGCCAACUUAGCAAACGCAGCCUUCUUCACCUCCACCUUUCCUUCGACUACAUCAUUCCACCACCAGUCACCCUGAUGUCUGCCUGAAUAGCCCUUGGCCACCCCGAGCACGUUCCGUGCUACCUCCCUAACCAAGUUCGCCGUCUCUGACCACAUAGCGUCCGCUGCCCCAGAGCUUCACCAAGCUCCGCCCUCAGCUAACCUCCUCUCCAACUCAUGUGCUUUCUCCUUAUUCAAAACACCCCAUCUAAUCCGCGGUUAUCCCCUUGACCACAUAGCGUCCGCUGCCCCAGAACUUCGCCAAGCUCCGCCC
This 574-nucleotide long non-coding RNA is filed under the name Nicotiana benthamiana. Its description in RNAcentral is "long non-coding RNA (NBEN_LNC024390)". The record is from RNAcentral. Lineage: Eukaryota; Viridiplantae; Streptophyta; Magnoliopsida; Solanales; Solanaceae.